Myotis lucifugus (little brown bat) is the source of this 224-nucleotide long non-coding RNA. RefSeq lists it as uncharacterized. Lineage: Eukaryota; Metazoa; Chordata; Mammalia; Chiroptera; Vespertilionidae. The transcript is spliced from 3 exons. The record is from RefSeq and is a predicted model, not a curated record.
GCAGGUUUCUGCAUGUUUGUGCUGAGCUUGGUGAAGAAACAUUAUCGACUGCAGUUUUACAUGUUCGCAUGGACUCAUGUCACUUUACUGAUAACAGUUACUCAGUCACAUCUUGUCAUCCAAAAUCUGUUUGAAGGCAUGAUAUGGUUCCUUGUUCCAAUAUCAAGUGUUAUCUGCAAUGACAUAACUGCUUACCUUUUUGGAUUUUUUUUUGGGAGAACUCC